AGGGCCGGCCCAAGCCCAAAGCAAGUGAAGUUAGGGCUUUAGGCCCCCAAAAUUUGGGCCAAGAAAUAGGCCUCAAUUGUUUUUUUUGUUGUUGGGGAAAUAGACCUCAAUUUUUAAUAUAGAGAUAUUUGUUCCUAAUUGUUGAUAGUAUUUUAGUAAUAGCGCAGCGGCUGAAGGCCUUGCAUUUUUUAGCUCUUGGUCACAGGAUCGAAACUUAACUGUUGCAUUUUCAAUUUAUUUUUCCAAAAAUUAUUAAUAAGCCUCAUUUUCCAAUGUUUGAAUAAUAACACACUACCACCACCGUAAUUGCUUUCUUGGUGAGUACACCAAUAUAAUUAAUUCACUAACAAAGUUAAUUUUUUGACCUGAUGAUUUAUUAUUUAUUAUAAUUAUUCAUAAGUGAUUAAAUUAUAUUUUACAAAAAAUUAUCAAAAAAAAAACUAUUUUUUACAAAAUUACCUAUAACUUCUUUUUUUUUUUUUUUAAAAACUUGAUAUCCGGCCCUAGGAUCGACUAAUCAAAGGGACCAAUCCCACUAUUUUUUGAAAACUUGAAAAAAGUAAUUAAAAAUAAUAUUAGAAAUAAAACAAUUGUUAAAACAAUUGUUUUAGCCGAGGUGUGACAACUAUUAUUGUAUAAAAGGAUUAAUAUUUUUUUUUUAUCAUUUUUUUUUAUUUUUUUUGGCAAACUUUUUUUUUAAUCAUUUCUAAAAGGCCUCAUUUAAUUUUUCGCUUUAGGCCUCAACAUAUGUUGGGCCGGCCCUG
RNAcentral lists this long non-coding RNA (764 nucleotides) under Trifolium pratense (red clover). Its description in RNAcentral is "long non-coding RNA (TPRA_LNC004460)". Lineage: Eukaryota; Viridiplantae; Streptophyta; Magnoliopsida; Fabales; Fabaceae. The record is from RNAcentral.